RNA transcript from Ornithorhynchus anatinus (platypus), 3389 nucleotides. It is a transcript of the gene named lipopolysaccharide induced TNF factor, with no coding region annotated. NCBI's taxonomy places the organism in Eukaryota, Metazoa, Chordata, Mammalia, Monotremata, Ornithorhynchidae. The record is from RefSeq and is a predicted model, not a curated record. The transcript has 6 exons.
CGGCUCCGGCCCCGGCCUCCGGCCCAACCCCGCCCGAAAAAGAAUUAUGCUAGCGGAUAGUCGGGAGGCAGUGUGGUGAAGUGGAAAGAGCUUGGCGCUGGGGGUCACAAGGCCUGAUACUAGUCUCAAUUCUUGUCCCUCACCUGUGACCUUGGCUAAGAUGUCGGCUCCUGCCGCUCCCGGUGCUUCGUCCAUUCCAUCCGCUCCUCCGUCUUAUGAAGAGACAUUGGCAUUCAGCAGUUGUUACCCUCCCCCUGUUCCUGGAACUGUCCCUGGAGUGUGGUCAGGGGCGGAUGCCAAGGGGGUAAACCCUCCCGCCUACUAUCCCCAGCCGGUGCCAGCACCUAAUCCAAAUGCGAUCACCGUUCAGACCGUCUAUGUGCAGCAGCCAGUCUCAUAUUUUGAUCGUCCUGUCCAGAUGUGCUGCCCUUCUUGUAACAAGAUGAUAGUGACGCACCUCUCCUACAAUGCAGGGGCCCUAACAUGGCUGUCGUGCGGUAGCCUCUGCCUGUUGGGGUGUGCAGCUGGCUGCUGUUUCAUUCCAUUUUGUGUGGAUGCCCUUCAGGAUGUGGAUCACUACUGUCCAAAUUGCAAAGCUCUCCUUGGUACCUAUAAACGAUUGUAGGACCAGGAUGAAAAUAUGGUAAAGAUCUGUGUAAAAGAGGGGGCUUUGCCCCCGUUUCAACUCCAAUUUGAACCUCACCCAGUCCAGCACAUGGCGGUGUUCUGCUUUUGCAGUUGAAAUUCUCCAGGGUACUUUACUGAGUCCUUUAAAGAGGUGAGGGGGAAGAGUCAAAAGAAUAAACCUUCAAAUCCCAGAGAGUGCUGCUUGAAGGAUCUCAAAGGAGUUGCAGAGACUUUUCCCUCUAGAAUGCUGGUUCCACUGUAAACUGCCCACGAGUCACCCGAAAUCGCCCCCCCCCCCAUAGCUGCUUAUCAGUUUAUGCAUAAAUGAAUUGGUGAUUUAUAGUUGGCAGGCCCCUCCGCCUCCACAAUUAGCACCCUUGUUUGCAGUCUUAACAGAGAAGUCAAGGGCUGCUUUGUUUCCGAGAUCCAACCAGACAGAAUCAACUGUUGUGUUCGGGGUGAGCCCUUCGUAGUGGAUCUGCUAAGGAUGAAUCUUGCUCUGUGGAUCUUAGCGAGCUGUGGUCUCUGAUGCUGUCAAUCUGGCACUUUUUAUGAGCACAAACAUUCACUUUAUCUUUAAAAUUGGUGUGUGUGUUUUUUGCGUGUGUAUGUGAGUGUUUUUUGGUGUUUUUUUUUUUUUAAGGGGAGGGAAGGCAAAGACCAAAUGACCUUUUACAUAGGGCACUUUGCCAUCUGACUCACGUGCAUUCCGGAAAGCACGUCAGAAGUGGGAUUUAUUCUUGAUUCCUCUUUUCCUAGGUUUGGGUGAAUGGCCAGACCUGUAACACCAUGGACAUAAAGGUGUUUAUGUACAGGAGUUUAUUUUCAUAUUACACAGCUUAGAAAUCCUUUGUUAAAAAAAAUACCUGCUGUUACAUCAUUUCCGAAAACAGGUUUCUCUCAAAGAAGACUGGCGGGCCCAAUCGCAAUAGCCAUGCGAAAGAUGCGUUAUUACAUAGCCUAGUGCUGAGGCCUUUUUUCUGUGAAUAUAGAAACAAAUGAAAAACUUACCCACUGCCUUUAAUUUGAUCCAACAUGGACCUCUCAGUCACCUGAUGAUUUUUUUAAAAAGCGACCAAAAUUACAAAUCAGAAUCCCUUUUGUAGUGCUCAAGGUAUUUUGGGGGUUAGGUAUGGGAAAGCAUAUUUUUAUUUUAUAAAUAGAUUUCUUAGAAUACAUUUUUUGCAGGUGGCAGUCUGCAUUAUAGCUAGAGAGCCCAACCACCUGGUUGGGUUUUAUUUUUACCAAUCCAAUUUAUGGCAUCAGCUUGGAAGACACGGUUUACAAUACCCAAGUGCCAAGACGGAAUUCUUGCGUCAGAGCCGUGUUCUGUUUGAAGUAAAGCUCAGAUAUGGUGUCCAGUUGUACAGUCCCUCAUUCUUCUGAUAUUCACCAAAGCCAAGAAAGCAUCUGGAUAAUUUUCAUCUAGGAAAGCCAAACAUGGAAGUGAAAUUCAAAUCUGGACAUUGAUUCAGAAAUUAUAUUUGUUUUCAGCAGUACCGUGUAUCUUUAUGACUGCAUUGUGUAAUUACAUGAAGUUUCUAAAGUAAUUUUCAAAAAUGACUGUUGACUUUUGAGACUUACUCUUCUACAUAUUUGAAAAAGUACCUUUACUUGCUAUUUUCCUCACUUUAAAGGCUCUUUUCGUUCAUGCGAUGAACAGUUUUAAAAGCUUUCUCAUGCUUUGCAGAAAGGAUAAGUUGUACUGUAGUGGAAAGUAUUUAGGGAUGAAGAGUUCAGACUUGCCAAAUCUCUUAAAACGUAUCCUUCAAGAUUCUUGGUGUGGUGGGAAAAGUUAACGGACUGUAACAUUCAGCUCCAGGAUUGUCAAGCCCUGGUCCCAGUUUAAGCACACGGAAAACCACAAAGCCAUAUGGAAGAAGAGAGUCUCCAUGGUUCUUCAAAAACAAGGCUCUUCUUUAUCAGUCCGAGACAGUUGUGUAUGGCCGAGACAACAGUGACUGAAUUUGGCCCACCCUCACUAUGUUUCCAGCUGUUUUCCACUGCUGGAGAAUACAAGUUCAUUUUAAUGGUGCAAGAAAAUCACGAAUCAUCUCUUGAUCUCUUGGGUUGUCAUGGAGGCUCUUACAGUUGAUCAUUCUCCAACCCGCAGUCUAUUAAUACUAGGGUCGGAUCUCAACCUGAUUCCUCCCCCAAGCUUCCCUGGGCUGUUGCUGAAGCUCUUACCACCCUUACCCCAGCUUCUCUCCUUUCCGCUCCCUUCACAUUACCACUGCCCUUCCCCAAUCAUUUGACAGGGACGUCAAUUUCUUUCAUUUCAUAAGUCCACCUUGAUGAUGUGUAAUGACCCUAUUAUGCUAUUGUUGUUCCAAAUAUUAUUGGUAAAUAGAUUGUAAACUCAACGACAAGGGCUGUCUUUUUUUUUCUCACUAUUCUUCCAGGUGCCUCCAACAGAUUCCUCUGUAAAUGCUAAAGUUGAUGAUUUAAGACCCUGGAAGCUGAGGUCAUUCAAGUGGUCAUUCUGAUGCUUUGUGUUCGGGCAAUUUCCAGAAAGUUUGCAUUAGAUCUAUUGUCUCACACAUGUCUCAUGUUGUAUCAUAAGCCUAAGUGUCUUCUCUUUAAGGUUUUCUGUUUGACUCUUUGCCUUGUGGAGUAUGAAAUCUCUUCCAUUUUUCCUUGGUAUAAGAACUUGCUUUGUAUGAAUGUUAUAAAAGAAUGGAAAUUUGCAUUUUUUUCUUACAAAUUCUGAUUUCUACUUUGGAUUUUAUUAAAGUUAUCUCCUGGUUUUAUUACUAAAUCCA